CUGAAGGAGUGGUUGGGCAGGUUCUGAAGGAGUGGUUGGGCAGGUUCUAAAGGAGUGGUUGGGCAGGUUCUAAAGGAGUAGUUGGGCAGGUUCUAAAGGGAUGGUUGGGCAGGUUCUAAAGGAGUAGUUGGGCAGGUUCUAAAGGAGUGGUUGGGCAGGUUCUAAAGGAGUGGUUGGGCAGGUUCUGAAGGAGUGGUUGGGCAGGUUCUGAAGGAGUGGUUGGGCAGGUUCUGAAGGAGUGGUUGGUGGCUCUAUCCACGUUGCACUUAAUUCCUUGGUCUCUCUUGGGUAUAUUCAGAGCUCCUGCAGAAGGUGAGUGUGUUUUCGGGCUGCAACACAACCUAGGGAACCACACUUGCUGCAGUCUUUGGGCUGGUUUGCAUUGAAGAUAUGGCCCCUACAAUGUCCUAAUUGGAUAAUUGAUGGCAUGUGCUGCAAUCUUCCGAAAUCUUUUCAUGUGACUGAAGAGGCUUCUUCUCUCUCUUUUCAAACCCUUCACUCUGCAUUGUACAAUCUAAAAUACACACACAUACACAAGGGAUCUGUAGACUCGGAGGUAAAUACAUCUCUCAACGUGUAUCCAUUGUUUCCAUAGUUCUUACCACAAUCAGGUUGCAUUGACCUGUUCUGAACCAACUGUCCCUGGGACAUCAACUAGUCAAAAUACAAAACCUAUUGUUUAACAAAUACAAUAGGGCCUUCAAAAAGAUUGAUCUACUUUUUAUCUGUGGGUAUUGCUGUAUUAAAGAUGUUGUCUCCCCUGAGGGGCGUCCCUAUUGUGGCUGGUUAAUUUAAUUUAAUUAUUGACGAAGCCUCUGAUUUAACACGGCGAUGAUAUUUUGCUGUUUCAAAAGCAUAGAAAAUGCACCAGUCUUUGUCUGAGGCUUUAUUUCCCAGACCCUUUAGACAGUCAUAUGCAUCAGAAAACUUGGUAGUGGCCAUUCCAUCAGUCCUCUUGGUUAUGAGGGCCCAGCAGGGCGCGCCUUCUCCGAUUUACCAUCUACAGCUGAAGUUGGAAGUUUACAUACACCUUAGCCAAAUACAUUUAAACUCAGUAUUUCAGAAUUACUGACAUUUAAUCCUAGUAAGAAUUCCCUGUCCUAAAUCAGUUAGAAUCACCACUUUAUUUUAAGAAUGUGAAAUGUCAGAACAAUAGUUAAGAGUGAUUUAUUUCAGCUUUUUUUUCUUUCAUCACAUUCCCAGUGGGUCAGAAGUUUACAUACACUCAAUUAGUGUUUGGUAGCAUUGCCUUUAAAUUGUUUAACUUGGGUCAAACGUUUCGGGUAGCCUUUCACAAGCUUCCCACAAUAAGUUGGGUGAAUUUUGGCCCAUUCCUCCUGACAGAGCUGGUGUAACUGAGUCAGGUUUGUAGGCCUCCUUGCUUGCACACACUUUUUCAGUUCUGCCCACCAAUUUUCUACAGGAUUAAGAUCAGGGCUUUGUGAUGGCCACUCCAAUACCUUGACUUUGUUUUCCUUAAGCUAUUUUGCCACAACUUUGGAAGUAUGCUUGGGGUCAUUGUCCAUUUGGUAGACCCAUUUGCAACCAAGCUUUAACUUCCUGACUGAUGUCUUGAGAUGUUGCUUCAAUAUAUCCACAUAAUUUACCUCUUCAUGAUGCCAUCUAUUUUGUGAAGUGCACCAGUCCCUCCUGCAGCAAAGCACCCCGACAACAUGAUGCUGCCUCCCCCGUGCUUCACGGUUGGGAUGGUUUUCUUCAGAUUGCAAGCCUCCCCCUUUUUCCUCCAAACAUAACGAUGGUCCUUAUGGUCAAACAGUUCUAUUUUUGUAUCAUCAGACCAGACGACAUUUCUCCAAAAAGUACGAUCUUUGUCCCCAUGAGCAGUUGCAAACCGUAGUCUGGCUUUUUUAUGGCGGUCAUGUCGACAUAGGACUCGUUUUACUGUGGGUGAAGAUACUUUUCUACCUGUUUCCUCCAACAUCUUCACAAGGUCCUUUGCUGUUGUUCUGGGAUUGAUUUGCAUUUUUCUAACCAAAGUACGUCCAUCUCUAGGAGACAGAACGCGUCUCCUUCCUGAGCGGCAUGACGGCUGUGUGAUCCCAUGGUGUUUAUACUUGCGUACUAUUGUUUGUACAGAUGAACGUUGCACCUUCAACAAAGGGUAUAUAACAAAGUAUUGAGAUAAACUUUUGUUAUUGACCAAAUACUU
Oncorhynchus keta (chum salmon) is the source of this 2170-nucleotide long non-coding RNA. RefSeq lists it as uncharacterized. The transcript is spliced from 3 exons. Lineage: Eukaryota; Metazoa; Chordata; Actinopteri; Salmoniformes; Salmonidae. The record is from RefSeq and is a predicted model, not a curated record.